Molecule: long non-coding RNA, 910 nt
Organism: Orcinus orca (killer whale)
Lineage: Eukaryota; Metazoa; Chordata; Mammalia; Artiodactyla; Delphinidae
Exons: 3
Source: RefSeq, a predicted model, not a curated record
CCCCAACCAAGAAACUACUUGACCUUGCACUUUCCAGGUGUUGGACGACCUGUUGAAGACUCCUGUCCGUUGACCAGCAUACGCAUUCCUGGGACCAGCCCGUAGGGAGAUCUGAAAAGCUGGAUGCAACAGAGCUUUUGGUAUCAAGGUUAUACUAGACUUAUGAGUUGGGGAAUGUUUCCUCUUUUUUUAUUUAUGCUCCGAAAGAGUUUAUAGAAGAUGGAACUAUUUGAUCCUUCAGCAUUUGGUACAACUCGUCGGCAAAGCCAUACAAGCCUGGAGAUUUCUUUGAGUGAAGAUUUUUGACUACAGAUUGAACUUAUUUGAAGGAUCUUAGUUCCCCAACCAGGGAUAGAACCUGUGCCCCAUGCAGUGGAAUUGCACAGUCUUAACCACUGGAUCGCCAGGUAAGUCCAAUUCUGUUAAUCUUGAUGUUCAAGUCUAUAUUAUUCCUAAGCUUUUGUCUGCUCUUUUCCACCAAAUACUAAGACAAGUGUGUAAAAUUUCCGACUAUGAUUGUGCAUUUGUUUAUUUCUCCUUUGAGUACUGUAGAUUUUUACUAUAUAUAUAUAUAUAUAUUUGUGUGUGUGUGUGGCUGUGUUGUGUCUUCGUUGCUGCGUGCGGGCUUUCUCUAGUUGUGGCAAGCGGGGGCUACUCUUCAUUGCAGUGCGAGGGCUUCUCAUUGUGGUGGCUUCUCUUGUUGAGGAGCACAGGCUCUAGGAGCGCAGGCUUCAGUAGUUGUGGCACGCAGGCUCAGAAGUUGUGGCUCACGGGCUCUAGAGCGCAGGCUCAGUAGUUGUGAUGCAAGGGCUUAGUUGCUCCGUGGCAUGUGGGAUCCUCCCGGACCAGGGCUCGAACCCGUGUCCCCUGCAUUGUCAGGCGGGUUCUUAUCCACUGCGCCACCAGGGAA